Molecule: ribosomal RNA, 253 nt
Filed under: uncultured bacterium
Lineage: Bacteria
Description: partial 16S ribosomal RNA
Rfam family: Bacterial small subunit ribosomal RNA
Source: RNAcentral
UACGUAGGGGGCGAGCGUUGUCCGGAUUUAUUGGGCGUAAAGAGCGUGUAGGCGGCCAGGUAGGUCGGUUGUGAAAACUGGAGGCUUAACCUUCAGACGUCGACCGAAACCAUCUGGCUAGAGUCCGGAAGAGGAGAGUGGAAUUCCUGGUGUAGCGGUGAAAUGUGCAGAUAUCAGGAAGAACACCCGUGGCGAAGGCGGCUCUCUGGGACGGUACUGACGCUGAGACGCGAAAGCGUGGGGAGCGAACAGG